This 3530-nucleotide unclassified non-coding RNA is filed under the name Hevea brasiliensis (rubber tree). The record is from RNAcentral. Lineage: Eukaryota; Viridiplantae; Streptophyta; Magnoliopsida; Malpighiales; Euphorbiaceae.
UUUUUUUUUUCUUUACGGGAAAUUAGGUGAAUUUUUAUGAUAAUUGAAUAAAUUGAAAGGGGAAAAAUAAAAAUCUAUCGGUGGAAUCGGGAAAUCUUGUAGUGGAAUUCGAGUGUUGGUAGCUAUGGGGAAGAAGAGGAAAUCGAUAGCCACGAGCCUGGACGAGGUGGAUCGGACCAUGUAUGCUUCAUUUUGCAGCGCUGCUAACUCUCUCUCUCAGCUAUAUACCCAGGCUAUGAACCACCAGAAACUUUCCUUCCAAGCCGGUGAACGUCACGGCCUUGAACAACUUUAUCAGUGGAUUUGGAGACAACAAGAGGGAGGAUCAAGAGUAGCAACAGUUGAUAUACUCAGUUACAUUCAGGUUUUCCUAAUUUAUUUACAAUCUAUUCUCUUUUUUCCUUUGACUUUAUAUUUGUGUUUUAAAAAGGUUUUUUGAUGCAUCAUGGUUGCAUUACCUUGUGCCUUUGUAAUAUUUCCGAAUAUUCAACAUCUACUUUUGCCUGUAUUUGUGUUUGUGUGUGAUGAUGACCCUGCAUUAGCUAUGAAUCUGAGUGUGAGAUGUAGUAACCUAGAGUUCCAAAUAGCAACGUCCUUUGAAUUGAAUUUUGUUACAAUCAUAAUCACAUCUUUACGUAUCGAUGUUAUACUCUUCCACUGGUAUCUAUGCAGUCAAGGAAAACCAAAUUUAAGGAUUAUGAUAUCCAAUUCUUAAUUAUUAAAACUUUCUUCUAAAUUUUUCUGUUUGGGAAGUUCACUGUUUUAGUAAUGUUAGGAAUUUUUGUUUUCAUUAGGAAUAUUCAAAAGGCUUUUUUUGCUUCCUAUUUAGUAUUAGUUUAAUUCUUCCUAGUAUAAGUUAUUUAAGACCCUAAUACCAAUAUUGCUAGCUAUUUUCUUAGUUUUUUGGUGGUAGAAUUUUUAUUUUGAUUUGAUUUGGAAUUCUUGCUUUAUUUUUUCUUUCUUUCCUUUUUUCUCUCAUCAUCUCUAUCUUUGCCUCUAUUGCUGCUCCUUUCCUCAGUUGCUAGAAUAUUGCUGGUAGGUGCUGUUCACUGCCCCGCAUUUCAUUUCUUUUCUCUCUCUAAUUAGCUCUGUUUUGAUUUGCUAACCCUAAGCUCUACUUUCUUAAAUCUAAACACUAAAACUUGGUAAUUGCUUGAGAUUGGCCUACUGAAAAAGCAUUAGAAGGCUAGUUGGUCAACCUGUCCUACUUUAGUUUGGUAUCAAAGUGGUAGACCCUCAUUAUUUGAACUUGAUGAAGAGCACUUAAGGGCUGAAAUUCAAAGAUCACAAAAAACUGAAAGCGAUGGUUACAAUGUGUGAUUGGACAAGUUGUUUUAUCUAAAGGAUGUGUAUGGUGGUAUAGAAAGAGCUCCUUUGUGCUUACUCUCUGAUUUUUAGCAGUCAAUCAUCUUUUUAAGUUUAAAGAGCAACUUGAUGCAUGGAGAAUUGUUGCAUCUAUAUAGUGAUAACUAGACAUAGGCACAUCCAGGUUUGACUGGAACUCGCCUGGUCAAAACCAGACCGAAAACAUUGACACCCGGAUUUGACAAGAAUCAUCUUGAAUUGGAGCAAAACUGGAACAAACUGAUUUUGAUUGGUUCGGUUUGGUUCUGGAUCAAAACCAGAUUUUUUCGCCUUUUAAAAAAAAAAAAAAUUGAUGUCAGAUUUGUUUAAACUGGAUAGAACUGAACUGGGAUCAAAUCGAACCUGAACCAGGAUCAGAACCAAGGGGAACCCUUCAACCUAGUCCUACGUCCCCAGCCCUUAGGAUCAGAACCAGACUGUGCCCAUGCCCAAUGAUAAUAACACCUUAAUCCUACAAAUAUUCCCAUUUUUACUGUUGAGAAUGAAAGGAUUUGAUUGUUAAGACAUUAAAGAAUGUGUGAGCAACUAAAAAUUAUGAAAUCCUAUUUCUUGUUAAGACAUAAAAUGUGAUUUUGAUAAAUUUUUCCUAAUUUCCCAAUCAAAUGUUUAACAAGAUUUUUAAGUAAGAAAAGUCUAAUAUUUAAUAGCAAAAAUAUGUAUAUAAUUAUUUCCUAUGAAAUACUUGAUGAAAAGAUUAGUAAUGAACUUCAUUAAAUUCUUUGAUUGGAUUUUGCCAGGGAUAUCAUCUCUUUAUUUGGCACGGAUGGUAACAAAUAAGUAAUCAUAAAUAGUUGGUUAUGAGAUCUAUAAAAUAUAACUAAUGAUAAAACAAAUAAUAAGUAGUUAAAUAUAAAAAGUUUUUGCUCAUGGCUUCACUACAAUUUGUGUCAAACUUGCCUUGGGAGAAAAUGUAUUGGAAGCUUUUUGGGUAUGAUUUGCAAAUAUCUUGUGUUUGAAGAUUUUUAUACUUUUCACAUAGAAAAAACAUGAAAUUUAGAUUCAUGUGACAAGAUGAGAACCUGAGACUACUAAUAAUCGUGCAGUUUUAGCAGCAAAAUUAUACAAAUUUUAUGUUUCUCUGCUGGAAGGAUUGAUGAAAUAUGACCCUUAUGUUUACUACAAACUCGUUGGGGCUUGGUUUUGUUGAUUACCAAGGAAUCAUUUGCUAUUGUUGCUUAGUUUUUGUUUUGGUUGCAGACUUGCACUAUGUAAAAGAAGCAUUUUAGUUACAUACAUGUAAACAUACACGGUUGUAGAUAUUUAUGAUGUUGUACGAUUGCAAAAUGCAAUGCUUCUUGUAGAAUGAGCUGGACUAUUGUGGAGAAGAGCUGCCAUUGUCCCCCCGAGCGCCACAACAUCAGAAUUCCCAACCAAUUCAGUUCUCAAAUUCCAGCUUCCUUGUUUCAUCAGGUUCGUCUGGUCCAAUAACUGCUGGCCAAGGUACUCGCACUGAGCACUGUGAUCAACAACCCAAGAAUUCAGUUUUCUCAAAUGCUUUGUCAAGCCCUGUCCGGAGGAGUCUCCAGAAUUAUCACAUUGCUCAGGACAGCUAUUAUCCACCUGGCGGUCCACCGUCAGGAAAUGGAACCCGCAGUAACGAGCCCAACUUUCUUCAGCACCAGAACAGGGAUCCUAAUCCUGUUAGUUCCAAUGACUCUUCGAUGGAUAUCUAAGAUAGUAGGUGUAAAAGCUUGGUGGCAUGCGUACUGGUUAAAAGAAUCAGAGGGCUGUUGCAAUUGCAUUAAGGUUUUGGCACAUAGAAAUGGUUACUUCAUACAAGAAUAAUUGCAUGACGCUGCUUGCUUGUUGAAGUGUGUGGAGAAGAAUAGGUAAAUCGUGUGGGUUGGCAUGGGGCAAAAUGGUAUAUGAUGAGCACUGUAACCUAUUAGUUCAUCUUUUAUUGUCUUUCGAAUGCUUAGGAUGGGUCUUCUAUGUCAUGUAAAGCUUCUUGUCGAAUUGACUUGGCUACUUAUAAGAUGGUAAUAUUUGUUGCAUUUUAGCUUUUGUUUUACUUCUUUAGAUUGUCAUCGUUAAUGAUAUACGUCUGUAAAAAAUAAUUCAUGUUCAUGGUGCAUUGCUAAUUUUUAUUUAUUUUUUUUUAAAGUAGGAUGGAUAUUUAUUUAAGUGAAAAGCUGUGAAAUUAUAACUAAGCCAUCUCACUGGGC